GCUCUUGAAGUUCAAAGGAUGAACAACGCUCUCCUAAAGCGCAGGUUGCUGGUUCGAAUCCAGUCAGGAGCAC
Molecule: transfer RNA, 73 nt
Filed under: Streptomyces phage TunaTartare
Lineage: Duplodnaviria; Heunggongvirae; Uroviricota; Caudoviricetes; Stanwilliamsviridae
Also listed under: 1 other name
Description: tRNA-Arg
Rfam family: tRNA
About the family: Transfer RNA (tRNA) molecules are approximately 80 nucleotides in length.
Source: RNAcentral